ACCAUUCACAUUCCGAAAAUCAUAUGAAGUGUAGUAUUAAUGCUUAGAUAAUACCUUACCAGUUUCAAUCAUGUUUUUGCAGCGGAUCUUAUUCAUGAAACUGACAUCUCUCAAACAAGGAAAUUGGCAAUUGGCAUCCAUUUUUACCAUCUCAAAAAUGUGGUUGGCGGAUUAUGAUCGAACAUUUACUGGCACUUCCAAAUCCAUGGCAUUACAUGAAAUAUCAUUUUCAGUAAGUUUAACAAGAGGUAUUAUUAGAGGACCAACUUGAGUUCUAAUAUUUGCCAACUAGCAUUCACACCCACCAGAUUCCAUGAUGCCAUGGGAACUCUCUCUGUUUCAAACUGAUACAAUCAUGUGGGAUCAGAAGUACCAUACUAGAAGUCAAACCCGACUACUGUACACAUAAGUAACACGUACAAUAAACUGGUAAAAAUCCAGAUAUUUGAGACUACUGAAAGCCAAGAUAGUCUCAUGGUUUUUUAAAAAAAAAAACUGCGGUGUUUCGUUAAUCUAUCACUGAUAUUAAGAAGGAAAAAAUUCUUGAUGACCCCAGAUGAGAACAUGAAUCUGAUUAGGUAAAAUGUUAGUAACAGCAGCACCUUUUUUUUCUUUAACGGUACGGGUUCAUUUCAUAAUUUUGUAUUUGUUAUAUACCGCAAGGGAGCUGCCUAAAGAGCUAAAAGAGAGAAGUUUAGCAUAGAUCGGACAACAAAGCAAGAGGGGCAGCAACGAAGAUUUCGAAAUGUCAGCUGGUCGACAGUGUUGGAGUCGAACAACUUCCAAAUGAAUGGGUUCAACUUCACCACCGAAAAGGCAGCUCCUAAUUCUCUUUUUAGAGAGAAGAAAUUAGUAGUAAGAGAAGAAGAUACUGAUAAUAACAAGGGAAGAUCAUUCUAUUCUACUCUAUACUAAAGAAGUAGGGUGCGCACCUGCUCCACCGUUCAUAUCAACAGUGAAGUAUUUGCCUCUCUUUUUUCCUCAAAUCUUUUUUCUCAAAUUCUUUUAACGGUCAUUUGGAUUGCCUUUCCUUUCUAAUUUCAGAAAAGAGUUCUGAAAAAGGCCAUUUCUUUACUAAAGAGGAUUUUACAUGGUGAUUUGAAAACGCAACCUCUCAUAGGAAAGAAAGUACCUUUCUCAAUUAAAAAGUACAUUUCUUAAGAGAGAGAGGGAGGGAGAGAGGGGCAAAUAUAUAGAUAGUUGCAAAUUAAAUACAGCAAAAGUAAAACAGAAAAAAAGAAAAAGAAAAAAGGGGAUAACAAUUGAGAUUUAUACAGUUGAGGAUUGUAAAAUAUAUACCUGAGUAUGUUGUGGCUCAGAGGUAUCAAGAUAAGCACAAGUCCUGAUAUUCCCAGUGAACUUUACACUAGGCAUGAACUCACCGACAAGGAUGUUCUUCUUCUCCACAAUAUCCAUGUCAAAAAGAUAAGCAAAGGACUUGGUAUCAAGAACUGCUACAACGUUCGGAUUGACCCCAGCAAAGAAGGGAAAUGUUGGAGGCACAUUUGUGCGGAACACAGUGGACUUGUACUUGUCAAUGCGUUUCUUGAAGAAGGUAUCAGGACCCUGGAACCAGAAGUAGUCUAGCCUGUCUGAGAUGGGUCCUAACAAAGGCCAGCCGUAUGAUCCAGGGAUUGUACGGAGUGGGAGGGAAGCGGGUGCUGGAGACUGAGUAGGGGGUGAUGAUGACGGCAUGCCUGGAGAUAUGCUCAUCAUUCGGCAGUUCAUCAUCGUGCCCAUGGCCAUGGAUGUAGUGGCUGUGGUGAUGAAGUGAGGAUGAUGUCUAAAAAAUAUCAACUAAUUGUUUGUGUGUGAUUUGAUGACUACAGUAAGAUACAUAGAGCGAGCAAAGCAGGACACUGAAUCUUCUUGGUGGAUGUGGGAGCGUGUAAUAUCGGUGAUGGAGAUGGAGAUGGAGAUGGUGACGAGAGUGAGGGGGGGUUGUAAUGCUGUUGAUCAAUAAAUGGUGCUUGUGGAAGAGCAAGAACAUGGAUAAGACAAAUUUUUUUUUUUAUUUCUAUUUUCUUAUAACUCUUUUCAAUACUUGUCAGUUCACUGAAUCACUCUGAUAAUGGCAAAGUAUGAUAUUAUUAAAUUUUGCUCAACUUAUUUAUUUAAUUAUUUGUACAUACAAAUCUCUUUAUUUA
Long non-coding RNA from Populus trichocarpa (black cottonwood), 2147 nucleotides. RefSeq lists it as uncharacterized. The transcript has 2 exons. NCBI's taxonomy places the organism in Eukaryota, Viridiplantae, Streptophyta, Magnoliopsida, Malpighiales, Salicaceae. The record is from RefSeq and is a predicted model, not a curated record.